This 520-nucleotide ribosomal RNA is filed under the name uncultured Saccharomyces. Its description in RNAcentral is "eukaryotic LSU rRNA". It matches the Rfam family "Eukaryotic large subunit ribosomal RNA", at positions 62 to 586 of the family's 3401-position model. Lineage: Eukaryota; Fungi; Ascomycota; Saccharomycetes; Saccharomycetales; Saccharomycetaceae. The record is from RNAcentral.
AAACCAACCGGGAUUGCCUUAGUAACGGCGAGUGAAGCGGCAAAAAGCUCAAAUUUGAAAUCUGGUACCUUCGGUGCCCGAGUUGUAAUUUGGAGAGGGCAACUUUGGGGCCGUUCCUUGUCUAUGUUCCUUGGAACAGGACGUCAUAGAGGGUGAGAAUCCCGUGUGGCGAGGAGUGCGGUUCUUUGUAAAGUGCCUUCGAAGAGUCGAGUUGUUUGGGAAUGCAGCUCUAAGUGGGUGGUAAAUUCCAUCUAAAGCUAAAUAUUGGCGAGAGACCGAUAGCGAACAAGUACAGUGAUGGAAAGAUGAAAAGAACUUUGAAAAGAGAGUGAAAAAGUACGUGAAAUUGUUGAAAGGGAAGGGCAUUUGAUCAGACAUGGUGUUUUGUGCCCUCUGCUCCUUGUGGGUAGGGGAAUCUCGCAUUUCACUGGGCCAGCAUCGGUUUGUGGCAGGAUAAAUCCAUAGGAAUGUAGCUUGCCUCGGUAAGUAUUAUAGCCUGUGGGAAUACUGCCAGCUGGGA